GUAUGUGCAUGGUUUAAGGGGUGAUUCUUUUUUUUUUAAUUAGGUAUUGAAAGACCCCACCAUAAGACUUAGCAAGCUAGCUGCAGUAACGCCAUUUUGCAAGGCAUGAAAAAGUACCAGAGCUGAGUUCUCAAAAGUUACAAGGAAGUUCAGUUAAAGAUUAACAGUUAAAAAUCAAGGCUGAAUAAUACUAGGACAAGGGCCAAGAACCGAUGGUACCCACCGGGGCCCCGGCUCAAGGCCAAGAACCGAUGGUACCCACCUGGGCCCCGGCUCAGGGCCAAGAACAGAUGAUACCCAGAUAAGGCGGAACCAGCAACAGUUUCUGAAAAAGUCCCACCUCAGUUUCAGGUUCCCCAAAUGACCGGGAAAUACCCCAAGCCUUGAUUUGAACUAACCACUCAGCUCGCUUCUCGCUUCUGUACCCGCGCUUUUUGCUCCCCAGCCCUAUAAAAAGGGUAAAAACCCCACACUCGGCGCGCCAGUCCUCCGAUAGACUGAGUCGCCCGGGUACCCGUGUUCCCAAUAAAGCCUCUUGCUGAUUACAUCCGAAUCGUGGUCUCGCUGAUCCUUGGGAGGGUCUCCUCAGAUUGAUUGACUACCCACCUCGGGGGUCUUUCAUUUGGAGGUCCCACCGAGAUUAGGAGACCCCUGCCCAGGGACCACCGACCCCCGCCGGGAGCUCACUUACAGGCCCUCCAAGCAGUACAACGAGAGGUCUGGAAGCCACUGGCCGCUGCUUAUCAGGACCAGCUGGAUCAGCCAGUGAUACCACACCCCUUCCGCGUCGGUGACGCCGUGUGGGUACGCCGGCACCAGACUAAGAACUUAGAACCCCGCUGGAAAGGACCCUACACCGUCCUGCUGACCACCCCCACCGCUCUCAAAGUAGACGGCAUCUCUGCGUGGAUACACGCCGCUCACGUAAAGGCGGCAACAACUCCUCCGGCCGGAACAGCAUGGAAGGUCCAGCGUUCUCAAAAUCCCUUAAAGAUAAGAUUAACCCGUGGGGCCCCCUGAUGUAAGGUUAAACCAGAGACAAAAAUUGUUCGAAUCAGGACAAGGGUGGUUUGAGGGACUGUUUAACAGGUCCCCAUGGUUCACGACCUUGAUAUCCACCAUUAUGGGCCCCUUGAUAAUACUUUUAUUAAUCCUACUCCUCGGACCCUGUAUUCUCAACCGCUUGGUCCAGUUUGUAAAAGACAGAAUUUCGGUGGUGCAGGCCCUGGUUCUGACCCAACAGUAUCACCAACUCAAAUCAAUAGAUCCAGAAGAAGUGGAAUCACGUGAAUAAAAGAUUUUAUUCAGUUUCCAGAAAGAGGGGGGAAUGAAAGACCCCACCAUAAGACUUAGCAAGCUAGCUGCAGUAACGCCAUUUUGCAAGGCAUGAAAAAGUACCAGAGCUGAGUUCUCAAAAGUUACAAGGAAGUUCAGUUAAAGAUUAACAGUUAAAAAUCAAGGCUGAAUAAUACUAGGACAAGGGCCAAGAACCGAUGGUACCCACCGGGGCCCCGGCUCAAGGCCAAGAACCGAUGGUACCCACCUGGGCCCCGGCUCAGGGCCAAGAACAGAUGAUACCCAGAUAAGGCGGAACCAGCAACAGUUUCUGAAAAAGUCCCACCUCAGUUUCAGGUUCCCCAAAUGACCGGGAAAUACCCCAAGCCUUGAUUUGAACUAACCACUCAGCUCGCUUCUCGCUUCUGUACCCGCGCUUUUUGCUCCCCAGCCCUAUAAAAAGGGUAAAAACCCCACACUCGGCGCGCCAGUCCUCCGAUAGACUGAGUCGCCCGGGUACCCGUGUUCCCAAUAAAGCCUCUUGCUGAUUACAUCCGAAUCGUGGUCUCGCUGAUCCUUGGGAGGGUCUCCUCAGAUUGAUUGACUACCC
RNAcentral lists this long non-coding RNA (1885 nucleotides) under Mus musculus (house mouse). RNAcentral describes it as "predicted gene, 42031". The record is from RNAcentral. Lineage: Eukaryota; Metazoa; Chordata; Mammalia; Rodentia; Muridae.